UGGCAAGGUUCCCUACACCCUAAACUUUA
This 29-nucleotide non-coding RNA is filed under the name Mus musculus (house mouse). Lineage: Eukaryota; Metazoa; Chordata; Mammalia; Rodentia; Muridae. The record is from RNAcentral.